This 253-nucleotide ribosomal RNA is filed under the name uncultured bacterium. Its description in RNAcentral is "partial 16S ribosomal RNA". It matches the Rfam family "Bacterial small subunit ribosomal RNA", at positions 524 to 776 of the family's 1533-position model. The record is from RNAcentral.
UACGUAGGGUGCGAGCGUUAAUCGGAAUUACUGGGCGUAAAGCGUGCGUAGGCGGUUCGUUAAGUUCGUUGUGAAAGCCCCGGGCUCAACCUGGGAAUGGCAAUGGAAACUGGCGGGCUUGAGUAUGGCAGAGGGGGGUGGAAUUCCGCGUGUAGCGGUGAAAUGCGUAGAUAUCUGGAGGAACACCGGUGGCGAAGGCGGCGUUCUGGACUGCAACUGACACUGAAAAACGAAAGCCAGGGGAGCAAACGGG